This 272-nucleotide unclassified non-coding RNA is filed under the name uncultured fungus. RNAcentral describes it as "partial contains 5.8S ribosomal RNA, internal transcribed spacer 2, and large subunit ribosomal RNA". Lineage: Eukaryota; Fungi. The record is from RNAcentral.
AACGCACAUUGCGCCCCCUGGCAUUCCGGGGGGCAUGCCUGUCCGAGCGUCAUUGCACCCCUCAAGCACGGCUUGUCUCCUGGGCCAUCGUCCCGCACCCGCUCCCCGUGAGCGGGCGGACGGGCCCCAAAUGCAGUGGCAGCACCGCGUGACUGGUGUCUGAGCUGAUGGGCAUCCACCAGGCUCGAAGACCCGGCGCGGGCUCGCCGUCAGACCCAAUGUUCCACACUCGGUUUGACCUCGGAUCAGGUAGGAGUACCCGCUGAACUUAA